UGGGGAAUUUUGGACAAUGGGCGAAAGCCUGAUCCAGCAAUGCCGCGUGUGUGAAGAAGGCCUUCGGGUUGUAAAGCACUUUUGUCCGGAAAGAAAUCCUUGGCUCUAAUACAGUCGGGGGAUGACGGUACCGGAAGAAUAAGCACCGGCUAACUACGUGCCAGCAGCCGCGGUAAUACGUAGGGUGCAAGCGUUAAUCGGAAUUACUGGGCGUAAAGCGUGCGCAGGCGGUUUGCUAAGACCGAUGUGAAAUCCCCGGGCUCAACCUGGGAACUGCAUUGGUGACUGGCAGGCUAGAGUAUGGCAGAGGGGGGUAGAAUUCCACGUGUAGCAGUGAAAUGCGUAGAGAUGUGGAGGAAUACCGAUGGCGAAGGCAGCCCCCUGGGCCAAUACUGACGCUCAUGCACGAAAGCGUGGGGAGCAAACAGGAUUAGAUACCCUGGUAGUCCACGCCCUAAACGGUGUCAACUAGUUGUUGGGGAUUCAUUUCCUUAGUAACGUAGCUAACGCGUGAAGUUGACCGCCUGGGGAGUACGGUCGCAAGAUUAAAACUCAAAGGAAUUGACGGGGUCAUAGCUGUUUCCU
This 585-nucleotide ribosomal RNA is filed under the name uncultured bacterium. RNAcentral's name for it is "partial 16S ribosomal RNA". It matches the Rfam family "Bacterial small subunit ribosomal RNA", at positions 355 to 1375 of the family's 1533-position model. The record is from RNAcentral.